CAGGUUCAGCUGCUAGAAAAUCAACCAAUCCUUGAGGCAGGGUGUGCAAAGAACAACAUACCCUCAUGGCUGGAAGAAACCAAAGUCAGGAUGACCACAGAAAAAUGUCUUCUUGCAAGUGCAAGCACCAAUUCCCUGCAUGGAGGAGAAGGACUUCUGCAGCCAAUUGCUGAUGGUUAAUAAGAGCUGGGUGCUGUCAACAUCAGUGGAAUUUUCCCCCAUAUGUUGCUAGAAGACGAUAAGGACCACGUACUUAAGAGAGAGAAAAAAAAAAGUUGCCCAGCUCAGAGGAGGAGGAAAUCUGCUGCACUUCUCUUACCUGAGGGUUUCCUUUG
Long non-coding RNA from Poecile atricapillus (Black-capped chickadee), 335 nucleotides. RefSeq lists it as uncharacterized. The transcript is spliced from 3 exons. The record is from RefSeq and is a predicted model, not a curated record. NCBI's taxonomy places the organism in Eukaryota, Metazoa, Chordata, Aves, Passeriformes, Paridae.